Molecule: ribosomal RNA, 429 nt
Filed under: uncultured dinoflagellate
Lineage: Eukaryota; Dinophyceae
Description: partial 18S rRNA
Source: RNAcentral
UAAGAACGGCCAUGCACCACCACCCACAGAAUCAAGAAAGAGCUAUCAAUCUGUCAAUCCUUACUAUGUCUGGACCUGGUGAGUUUCCCCGUGUUGAGUCAAAUUAAGCCGCAGGCUCCACUCCUGGUGGUGCCCUUCCGUCAAUUCCUUUAAGUUUCAGUCUUGCGACCAUGCUCCCCCUGGAACUCAAAGACUUUGAUUUCUCAAAAAAUGCCGAAGGAAUCAACAGGCAACCGCCUCCAAUUUCUUGGUAGCAUAGUUUAUGGUUAAGACUAGGACGGUAUCUAAUCGUCUUCGAUCCCCUAACUUUCGUUCUUGAUUAAAGAAGACAUCCUUGGCAAAUGCAUUCGCAUUAGUUUGUCUUUAACAAAUCCAAGAAUUUCACCUCUGACAGUUAAAUACAAAUGCCCCCAACCAUCCCCAUCAAUC